AACCAGUCCUUCGGGACUGGGGACAGCGGCGAACGGGUGAGUAACACGUGGGUAAUCUGCCCUCGAUUCUGGGAUAGCCCGGGGAAACCCGGAUUAAUACCGGAUAGCCUCUCGAGCUUUCGAGCUUGUGAGAAAAGGUAGCUUCGGCCUCCGAUCGAGGAUGAGCCCGCGGCGGAUUAGCUUGUUGGUGGGGUAAUGGCCUACCAAGGCGACGAUCCGUAGCUGGUCUGAGAGGACGAUCAGCCACACUGGGACUGAGACACGGCCCAGACUCCUACGGGAGGCAGCAGUGGGGAAUCUUGCGCAAUGGGCGAAAGCCUGACGCAGCGACGCCGCGUGGGGGAAGAAGGCCUUCGGGUUGUAAACCUCUUUCAGCAGGGACGAAGCCACUCGGGUUAAUAGCCCAGAGGGUGACGGUACCUGCAGAAGAAGCCCCGGCUAACUACGUGCCAGCAGCCGCGGUAAUACGUAGGGGGCAAGCGUUGUCCGGAUUUAUUGGGCGUAAAGAGCGUGUAGGCGGCCAGACAAGUCCGUUGUGAAAACUAGAGGCUUAACCUCUAGACGUCGAUGGAAACUGUUUGGCUAGAGUCCGGAAGAGGAGAAUGGAAUUCCUGGUGUAGCGGUGAAAUGCGCAGAUAUCAGGAAGAACACCCGUGGCUAAGGCGGUUCUCUAGUACGGUACUGACGCUGAGACGCGAAAGCGUGGGGAGCGAACAGGAUUAGAUACCCUGGUAGUCCACGCCGUAAACGAUGGGUGCUAGGUGUUGGGGGGUGUCGACUCCCUCCGUGCCGAAGCUAACGCAUUAAGCA
This 810-nucleotide ribosomal RNA is filed under the name uncultured Actinomycetes bacterium. RNAcentral describes it as "bacterial SSU rRNA". It matches the Rfam family "Bacterial small subunit ribosomal RNA", at positions 70 to 866 of the family's 1533-position model. The record is from RNAcentral. Lineage: Bacteria; Bacillati; Actinomycetota; Actinomycetes.